UCGAAUAAACUUGAACAGGCUGUUGCUGGUCCUCAGGGGCAUGUGCACGCUUGUCAUCUUUAUCAUUUCUCCAACUGUGCACCUCUUGUAGACCUGGGGCCAUUUGAAUUUUCGUUUCGAUUUGGACAAUGCUGUGCUCAAAGCCAGCUUUUGCCUUGGCUUUUCCAGGUCUAUGUUCAGUUUUUCAUAAACAAAAAACGUGUUUAGAAUGGUUGGCUUUACAAAUAAUAAAAGUUAUA
This 239-nucleotide unclassified non-coding RNA is filed under the name uncultured Agaricales. RNAcentral describes it as "sequence contains ITS1". Lineage: Eukaryota; Fungi; Basidiomycota; Agaricomycetes; Agaricales. The record is from RNAcentral.